ACUCUCAGCAACGGAUAUCUCAGCUUUCGCAUCGAUGAAGAACGUAGCAAAAUGCAAUACUUGGUGUGAAUUGCGAAAUCCCGUGAACUAUCGAGUCUUUGAACGCAAGUUGCGCACAAAGCCAUUAGGCCGGGGGCAUGUCUACUUGGGCGUCACGUAUUGGAUUGCUCCCUCACAUCACACCUCAAUCACGGGGCGCGCUGUUGUCGCGGGGUGGAUACUAUCCUCCCGGGCGCCUCGAACUCGUGGCUGGCCUAAAUGCGAGUCCACAUCGACGGACGUAACGACAAGUAGUCUUUGCAACUCAACUCUCUUUGCCGUCGCGGCUACGGCCCAUCGCGCGUUCGGACUCCAGGACCCCUUCGCGCUCAGGCGCUUCGACCGCGACCCCAGGUCAGGUGGCAUUACCCCCUGAGUUUAACCAUAUCAAUAAGCAGAGGAAGAAAAACCUACAAGGAUUCCCUUAGUAAUGGUGAGUGAACCGGGAACAGCCCAGCCUUAGAAUCGGGAGGCUCCAUCGUCCGAAUUGUAGUCUGGAGAAUCUUCCUAAGCGGCGGACCUGGCCCAAGUCCCCUGGAAGGGGGCGCCAUAGAGGAUGAGAGACCCGUUGUGCUCGGACCCUAUCGCACCACGAGGCGCUGUCUACGAGUUGGGUUGUUUUGGAAUGCGUCCUAAAUAGGGCGGUGAAUUCCGUCAGAGGCUAAAUACGGGCGAGAGACCAAUAGCGAACAAGUACUGCGAGGGAAAGAUGAAAAGUACAUUGAAAAGAGAGUCAAAGUGUGCUUGAGAUUGUCUGGAGGGAAGCGGAUGCGGGCCGGCGAUGCACCCCAAUCGAAUGUGGAACGGCGACGAUCCGGUUCGUCGAUCGACUCGGGGCGUGGAACAGCAUGGAUUGGUGGUGGCCAAAGCUCAGGCUCUCGAUACGCUCGUGGAACGCCGUCUUCUCGAUUGUGGCAGGCAGCGCGCGUCUUCGGCGUGCUUAGGCAUCUGUGUACUCCCGACGCUAGCCUAUGGGCUCCCCAUUUGACCCGUAUUGAAACACGAACCAAGGAGUCUGACAUGUGUGUGAGACAACAGACGAGUAAAACCGUAAGGCGUAAGGAAACUGAGUGGUGGGAUCCCCCUGAGGGGUUCACCGCCGAUCGACCUUGAUCUUCUGAGAAGGGUUCGAGUGUGAGCAUACCUGUCGGGACCCAAAAGAUGGUGAGCUAUGCCUGAGCGGGGAAAAGUCAGAGGAAACUCUGGUGGAGGCCCGCAGCGAUACUAACAUGCAAAUCAUUCGUCUGACUUGGGUAUAGGGGCAAAAGACUAAUCGAACCUUCUAGUAGCUGGUUCCCUCCGAAGUUUCCCUCAGGAUAGCUGAAACUCGUGUGCGAGUUCUAUCGGGUAAAGACAAUGAUUAGAGUUCUCAGGGGCGCAAUGCCCUCGACCUAUUCUUAAAGUUUAAAUAGGUAGGACGACGCGGCUGCUUGGUUGAGCCGCUCCAUGGAAUCAAGAGCUCCAAGUAGGCCAUUUUUGGUAAGAAGAAAAGGCGAUGCGGGAUGAACUGAAAACUGGGAUACGGUGCCAAACUGUGCGCUAACCUAGAUCCCACAAAGGGUGUUGGUCGAUUAAGACAGCAGGAUGGUGGUCAUGGAAGUUAAAAUCCACUAAGGACUGUGUAACAACUAUCCUGUCGAAUCAACUAGCCCUGAAAAUGGAUGGCUCUUAAGCGCACGUCCUACACCCGGCCGUCGGGGCAAGUACCAGGCCCCAAUGAGUAGAAGGGUUUAGCGGUCGCUGCAAAACCUUGGGCAUGAGCCCGGAAGCGAGUGGCCAUCGGUUCAGUUCUUGGUGGUAGUAGCAAAUAUUCAAAUGAGAACUUUGAAGGCCGAAGAGGGGAAAGGUUCCAUGUGAAUGGCACUUGCACAUGGGUUAGUCGAACCUAAGGGUUGGGGAAACCCCGAAAGACAGCGCAUUUCGCGCAUGCUCCAAAAGAGAAUUGGGUUAAAAUUCCUAAACCGGGACGCGGCGGUUGACGGAAACGUUAGGAAUUCCAGAGACGUCGGCGGGAGCCUCGGGAAGAGUUAUCUUUCCUGUUUAACAGCCUUCCCACCCUGGAAUCGACUCAGCCAGAGGUAGGGUCCAGCGGAUGGAAGAGAACCACAUGUCGUGUGGUGUUCGGUGCACUCUCGAUGGCCCUUGAAAAUCUGGAGGACCGAAUUCUAGAGCUAAUACUUGCAACAAACCCCGACUUCUGGAAGGGAUGCAUUUAUUAGAUUAAAGAUCGACACAGGCUCUGCCCGUUGCUGCGAUGAUUCUUGAUAACUGGACGGAUCGCACGACCAUCAUGCCAGGGACGCAUCAUUCAAAUUUUUGCCCUAUAAAUUUUCGAUGGUUGGAUAGUGGACUACCAUGGUGGUGACGGGUGAUAGAGAAUUAGGGUUCGAUUCCAGAGAGGAAGCCUGAGUAACGACUACCACAUCCAAGUAAGGCAGCAGGUGCGUAAAUUACCCAAUCCUGACAUGGGGAGGUAGUGACAAUAAAUAACAAUACCGGGCUCAAUGAGUCUGGUAAUUGGAAUAAGUACAAUCUAAAUCCCUUAACAAGGAUCCAUUGGAGGGCAAGUCUGGUGCCAUAAGCCGUGGUAAUUCCAGCUCCAAUAGCGUAUAUUUAAUUUGUUGCAGUUAAAAAAGCUCGUAGUUGGACUUUGGGAUGGGUCGGCCGGUCCGCCUAUGGUGUGCACCGGUCAUCUCGUCCCUUCUGUCGGUGAUGCGCUCCUAGCCUUAACUGGCCGAGUCGUGCGUCCGGCGCUGUUACUUUGAAGAAAUUAGAGUGCUUAAAGCAAGCCUACGCUCUGUAUACAUUAGCAUAGGAUAACAUUAUAGGUUUCGGUCCUAUUACGUUGGCCUUCGGGAUCGGAGUAAUGAUUAAUAGGGACAUUCGGGGGCAUUUGUAUUUCAUAGUCAGAGGUGAAAUUCUUGGAUUUAUGAAAGACGAACAACUGCGAAAGCAUUUGCCAAGGAUGUUUUCAUUAAUCAAGAACGAAAGUUGGGGGCUCGAAGACGAUUAGAUAUUGUCCUAGUCUCAACCAUAAACGAUGCCGACCAGGGAUCGGAUGAUGGGGAUAGAUCAUUGCAAUUGUUGGUCUUUAACGAGUAAUUCCUAGUAAGCGUGAGUCAUCAGCUCACGUUGACUAAGUCCCUGCCCUUUGUACACACCGUCCAUCGCUCCUACCGAUUGAAUGGUCCGAUGAAAUAUUCGAAUCACGGCGACGUGGCCGGUUCUCAGCCCGCGACAUCACAGGAAGUCCAUUGAACCUUAUCAUUUAGAGGAAGGAGAAGUUGU
Molecule: ribosomal RNA, 3327 nt
Filed under: Capsicum baccatum
Lineage: Eukaryota; Viridiplantae; Streptophyta; Magnoliopsida; Solanales; Solanaceae
Description: bacterial LSU rRNA
Rfam family: Eukaryotic large subunit ribosomal RNA (bases 385-2286)
Source: RNAcentral